Molecule: long non-coding RNA, 1212 nt
Organism: Centrocercus urophasianus (Greater sage-grouse)
Lineage: Eukaryota; Metazoa; Chordata; Aves; Galliformes; Phasianidae
Exons: 2
Source: RefSeq, a predicted model, not a curated record
GGGGCGAGGGUCUGGCAGUGGUACGCGGCCGGGGGUCUGCAUGCCUAAGCGAGCCCGUGUCCUCUCGACUCCCUCUUCUCCCUUUUGUUCCCCUCUCCCACACCAUGGCUGCCCGCCUUUCCCCCACGCUGGUGCUGGACGAGGCCUUGGAGAGCGACUCAGAGCCAGCGCUCAGGGGAAAUAUGACGAAAACCCCCUGAGCGAGGCUGAAGGUUCCAGGGGAGGCGUCAAAGAGCGAGGAGGAGGAGGAAGAUGGGGCCCGAGUGCCGCUGCCAGCGGUGUCCCUGGUGAUCUUCUCACUGCUGCAGCAGUGAGGGGGGAAAGUGCAGGGCGGCUGCAGGGGGCUGUGGUGGAGGUAUUGGAGUGCAGUUUGAGAGGGGCCGUGCAGCUGCUGGAAGGCCUCUGGAAGCCCCUGGGCUGAGCCCGAGCUGAGGCGGCUGCCUGUCUUGUGAAAACAAAAGUUAGUGGAAAAUUGGUGUGAAGGUUCAACCUCUACUGCUUUCCCACCAACAUCCAACUCUGUUGUUGUGGGCAAACAGGAGGCAUUACCUUUGGAGCAGUCCUCAUUAAAUGUAUAGUAUAGGACUGUAAGGCAACGUAAUAAAAUGCAUAAACUGGUUUGCCGUAACCUGAGCUGGCGCGGCGCUGCGCCCUCCCUGUCCCUGCUUUCAGCCCGGGUCGGGUUCGCAGCACACUGAUGAGAGGAGCGGCUGCACUGCAAUGCAAGCUGUGCUGGGCCACGGUUUGGACAUGGCUGCUCUGAACAGCUGGACGUCUGCCCUCCGGAAGUCCAGGACAGCAGUUCUGCUGACCCCCCUGUAUCCCAUGCAGACUGUGUAAACACUUGGAAGAUCCACCCCUUGGAGGCCCUGACUUCCACACAGACCCUGUAACGAAUGAAAGCCCAUCUUAUUGACAAGCUGUAUCUUGUGGAGACCCUACCCCCCGUGGGGACCCCAUAACCCUUGGAGCCCAGCCCCACUGACAACCUAUACCUCAUGAAGACCCCCUGGAGACACAUAAUCCUGUGUAGAACCCACCUCCUCAGGCCCCACUCUGUCAGACCCAGACCCCAUCCUUGCAGCUUGGGCCCAACGUGGCCGAUAUCCCAGAUGACCUUGUGUAUCAUGCACAUUACCACCUCCCGCUCCCUUGAGGCCAACACAACGGUGGAAUUAUGUCAAUAAGCAUUUGAUACUUUGGUACUUUUAA